CCUACGGGUGGCAGCAGUGAGGAAUAUUGGUCAAUGGACGAGAGUCUGAACCAGCCAAGUAGCGUGAAGGAUGACUGCCCUAUGGGUUGUAAACUUCUUUUAUAAAGGAAUAAAACGAGGCACGUGUGCCUGUUUGCAUGUACUUUAUGAAUAAGGAUCGGCUAACUCCGUGCCAGCAGCCGCGGUAAUACGGAGGAUCCGAGCGGUAUCCGGAUUUAUUGGGUUUAAAGGGAGCGUAGAUGGGUUGUUAAGUCAGUUGUGAAAGUUUGCGGCUCAAACGUAAAAUUGCAAUUGAUACUGGCAGUCUUGAGUACAGUUGAGGUAAGCGGAAUUCGUGGUGUAGCGGUGAAAUGCUUAGAUAUCACGAAGAACCCCGAUUGCGAAGGCAGCUUACUAAACUGUGACUGACAUUGAUGCUCGAAAGUGUGGGUAUCAAACAGGAUUAGAUACCCUGGUAGUC
Molecule: ribosomal RNA, 460 nt
Filed under: uncultured bacterium
Lineage: Bacteria
Description: partial 16S ribosomal RNA
Rfam family: Bacterial small subunit ribosomal RNA
Source: RNAcentral